RNAcentral lists this ribosomal RNA (253 nucleotides) under uncultured bacterium. RNAcentral's name for it is "partial 16S ribosomal RNA". It matches the Rfam family "Bacterial small subunit ribosomal RNA", at positions 524 to 776 of the family's 1533-position model. The record is from RNAcentral.
GACGAACCGUACGAACGUUAUUCGGAAUCACUGGGCUUAAAGGGUGCGUAGGCGGCGCUGAAAGUUGGGUGUGAAAUCCCUCGGCUUAACCGACGAAUUGCGCCCAAACCUACAGUGCUUGAGGGAGAUAGAGGUGAGUGGAACUUAGGGGGGCGCGGGGAAAUGCGUUGAUAUCCUAAGGAACACCAGUGGCGCAAGCGCCUCACUGGGUCGUCUCUGACGCUGAGGCACGCAAGCUAGGGUAGCGAACGGG